UCUGGUGGCGAUAGCAAAGAGGUCACACCUGUUCCCAUGCCGAACACAGAAGUUAAGCUCUUUAGCGCCGAUGGUAGUUGGGCUU
RNAcentral lists this ribosomal RNA (85 nucleotides) under Mammaliicoccus sciuri. Lineage: Bacteria; Bacillati; Bacillota; Bacilli; Caryophanales; Staphylococcaceae. The record is from RNAcentral. RNAcentral also lists the same sequence under 2 other names.